Molecule: ribosomal RNA, 485 nt
Filed under: uncultured Anoxybacillus sp.
Lineage: Bacteria; Bacillati; Bacillota; Bacilli; Caryophanales; Anoxybacillaceae
Description: bacterial SSU rRNA
Rfam family: Bacterial small subunit ribosomal RNA
Source: RNAcentral
UCAAAGGAAGUUACGACGGGGGCCCGCACAAGCGGUGGAGCAUGUGGUUAAUUCGAAGCAACGCGAAGAACCUUACCAGGUCUUGACAUCCCUGACAACCCGAGAGAUCGGGCGUUCCCCUUCGGGGGACAGGGUGACAGGUGGUGCAUGGUUGUCGUCAGCUCGUGUCGUGAGAUGUUGGGUUAAGUCCCGCAACGAGCGCAACCCUCGACCUUAGUUGCCAGCAUUCAGUUGGGCACUCUAAGGUGACUGCCGGCUAAAAGUCGGAGGAAGGUGGGGAUGACGUCAAAUCAUCAUGCCCCUUAUGACCUGGGCUACACACGUGCUACAAUGGGCGGUACAAAGGGUCGCGAACCCGCGAGGGGGAGCCAAUCCCAAAAAGCCGCUCUCAGUUCGGAUUGCAGGCUGCAACUCGCCUGCAUGAAGUCGGAAUCGCUAGUAAUCGCAGGUCAGCAUACUGCGGUGAAUACCGGUUCCCGGGCCUU